Transfer RNA from Ipomoea nil (Japanese morning glory), 72 nucleotides. It matches the Rfam family "tRNA". Rfam says of the family: Transfer RNA (tRNA) molecules are approximately 80 nucleotides in length. Their secondary structure includes four short double-helical elements and three loops (D, anti-codon, and T loops). Further hydrogen bonds mediate the characteristic L-shaped molecular structure. tRNAs have two regions of fundamental functional importance: the anti-codon, which is responsible for specific mRNA codon recognition, and the 3' end, to which the tRNAs corresponding amino acid is attached (by aminoacyl-tRNA synthetases). tRNAs cope with the degeneracy of the genetic code in two manners: having more than one tRNA (with a specific anti-codon) for a particular amino acid; and 'wobble' base-pairing, i.e. permitting non-standard base-pairing at the 3rd anti-codon position. The record is from Rfam. NCBI's taxonomy places the organism in Eukaryota, Viridiplantae, Streptophyta, Magnoliopsida, Solanales, Convolvulaceae.
GCGGAUGUAGCCAAAUGGAUUAAGGCGGUGGAUUGUGAAUCCACUGUGCGGGUUCAAUUCCUGUCGUUCGCC